RNAcentral lists this transfer RNA (72 nucleotides) under Camelus bactrianus (Bactrian camel). It matches the Rfam family "tRNA". From Rfam's summary of the family: Transfer RNA (tRNA) molecules are approximately 80 nucleotides in length. Their secondary structure includes four short double-helical elements and three loops (D, anti-codon, and T loops). Further hydrogen bonds mediate the characteristic L-shaped molecular structure. tRNAs have two regions of fundamental functional importance: the anti-codon, which is responsible for specific mRNA codon recognition, and the 3' end, to which the tRNAs corresponding amino acid is attached (by aminoacyl-tRNA synthetases). tRNAs cope with the degeneracy of the genetic code in two manners: having more than one tRNA (with a specific anti-codon) for a particular amino acid; and 'wobble' base-pairing, i.e. permitting non-standard base-pairing at the 3rd anti-codon position. Lineage: Eukaryota; Metazoa; Chordata; Mammalia; Artiodactyla; Camelidae. The record is from Rfam by way of RNAcentral. RNAcentral also lists the same sequence under 2 other names.
GAGAGUAUAGCUCAGUGGUAGAGCGUGUGCUUAGCAUGCACAAGGUCCUGGGUUCAAUCCCCAGUAUCUCCA